AUUGGCCAAGCUAUACUCGGGUCUGGAUAUUUAGUUGUUGGAUGCGCUUGGUGUUGUCAUGUUAAUGGUUGGACCUAACCAAGAUUUUCAGUGGAGGCACCACACACUUGCUGAAGAGAUGCCUGGGGCAAAACCUAAUUGCUAGAAGUUAUUUAAAAAAAUAAUUAGUUAUGAACCUACCCAUAGAUACACUAAUGUUGAUCGAGCUACACUCGGACCCGAAUACAGUCUG
This 232-nucleotide long non-coding RNA is filed under the name Elaeis guineensis (African oil palm). Its description in RNAcentral is "long non-coding RNA (EGUI_LNC057528)". Lineage: Eukaryota; Viridiplantae; Streptophyta; Magnoliopsida; Arecales; Arecaceae. The record is from RNAcentral.